AUUGAACGCUGGCGGCAGGCCUAACACAUGCAAGUCGAGCGGAGUGGCGGACGGGUGUGUAAUGCCUAGGAAUCUGCCUGGUAGUGGGUGACAACGUCCGGACACGGGCGCUAAUCCCGCAUACUUUCAGAUGAGCCUAGGCCGGAUUAGCGAGUUGGUGGGGGAAAGGCCUACCAAUGCGACGAUCCGUAACUGGUCUGAGAGGAUUAUCAGUCACACUGUAACGGGGACACGGUCCAUACUCCUACGGGAGGCAGUAGUGGGGAAUAUUGGACAAUGGGCGGAAGCCUGAGCCAGCCAUUCCGCGUGUGGGAAUAAGGUCUUCGGAUUGUAAAGCACUUUAAGUUGGGAGGCGUUACCAACAGAAUAGGCACCGGCUAACUUCGUGCCAGCCGCCGCGGUAAUAC
Molecule: ribosomal RNA, 407 nt
Filed under: uncultured bacterium
Lineage: Bacteria
Description: partial 16S ribosomal RNA
Rfam family: Bacterial small subunit ribosomal RNA
Source: RNAcentral